RNA transcript from Cephus cinctus (wheat stem sawfly), 6358 nucleotides. It is a transcript of the gene named nuclear factor related to kappa-B-binding protein, with no coding region annotated. The record is from RefSeq and is a predicted model, not a curated record. Lineage: Eukaryota; Metazoa; Arthropoda; Insecta; Hymenoptera; Cephidae. The transcript has 16 exons.
CGUGAUACAAUGAUCGGGAAACUAAAUUUCUGAACAGACUGGGAAAGCUACGAACGGUAACAAGGGAAAGGAACGUGAUGUGCACUUGAAAUACUUACUAUACAAGCAUCGUGGAUUGUCCGCGCUCCACGCCAUGACUGAAUUUCGUGGACGAGCAGGAGUGCCGUUGCUGCGUUGCUGUGACAGAUGGAACACUGAAUAGUGAAAUUACCUAAUAACGAUCAAUAACGAAAAGAUUCACAUCAUCACAAAAAUAGUAGAGUUUACAUUUCAAUUUAGUAAGCUCCCCUCAUUGUUUACUGAAAAUUUUGUCAGUUUCGAGGCAGAACAGUUUAUACUUACACAGUGUGAAUUAACAUCUAGGGAACGGCGAAGAAAAAAAGGAUUUAAAAAAUGGAGAUGGAUGAAUGUUCUGCUGGUGGGGAUUCUGGUGCUGAAGAAGAUGAAGAUGAAGAUUCAUCACAUGGUUCAAGGAGUAAUAGUAGCAGUAGUAGCAGUAGUGGAAGUAGUACAUCAACAGGCAGUGGAGAAGAAAGUGGUGAGGAACACUGUAGUAGCAGUUCAGAAAGUCAUAGUUCUGCUGAUGAUGAUGAAGAAGGAACAGAAAGUUCACAACAUCCAACAAAAGAGGAUUCAAAUACUUUGAGAUGGGAGAUAUGUGUAGCUGCUGGGACCAGGGUAAAACUACCACAAGAUCUUUGCGAACAUUUCUCAAUAUUUCGGGAAUUCUUGGAUUAUCCUCGUGUUUGGCAAGAGUAUCUAACUGAAAGUCAGCGUGAAUCCCUCCGUUGCCUAUUACCAGCGUUUCCCAUAGAUUGUGAUGUAGAUGUUGAAUGUGACAAGACACUUCGUAUGCUAUUUCAUAGAGAGAAUCAGAGGUUUGGCGUUACCACAUUAGAUUCUUUCCAUAACCAUCUAUCUACGGGACACUUUCGACCAGAUAUUAGAAGGAUGCGCAGUUUAGUACGUAAGGCACAACAAAGACGAUUACUUUUUGAAGAACGUAAACGUACUUAUGAACUUGCUGGCCAACUAUUGAAAUCGCGAGAGUGCUUAUUGUCAAAUGCAUAUAAGCAGGGUUUUAGUCAGCCAAUUCAUCGAACUAUAUCUAAAUUUCAAUGGCGGAAGCCAAAACCUGCAUUGGUUGAAGAAAAAACUCAGCUGCGUUACAUAGAAGAGUUGGAUGCAUUGAAGGCAGAGCUUGGAGCUAAUACUACGUUUUCUGUUGACACAACUUCUGAAAACGACGAGAACUAUCCUCAUCAACAAUAUGGAGGAGCUAAACAAAAGAAGAAAAAGCGUACCACCAUGGGAUUACAAUACAUGCCUAUCAGAGGUUUGCAAAUGAGUCAUGAAGAUGAAACUGUUCGUCCAGUGUUUUCGACACUACAGCGAUCACAGUACAGUUCAAAUCGAUCGUUUCUCCUUCGGGAACAAACAGAGGACACUUACCGAAAUAUGUUAAUAACACAUAAGAAGCGAAGAGUACGUCGUGAUAUACAUCCCGAGUUAAAUACACAGGGCAUUUCACUCGCUGAUUUAGCUCAAAGAGCUCAGAUAGGUCAAAAGCACAAAAUUUCGCUUGGGAACUCCAUGCGUGUUUCGAGUGCUAAAAAGAAAAUAAAAUUGGAGCAACCUUCUCUCUGUCCACCUCUCGUACCGAAGUUUGCCAAUGCCAAUUCAAUUAAGCUUGAGAGUGACAACAGUGACUACUCUCAUACAACGGAUGAUAAUAACAAACAUUCCAUGAUCUUGGAAGCGGAUCAUCGAAUAAUGAUCUCUAGUACCAUAAAAACUGAACCCAUAGAUGCAUAUGAAGUGCAGCAACCAGUUAAAAACAAAAUAAGUCCUACUAUUGCAAAAAGUAAUAAAAACUUAAUCUUACCCACGGCAAAUAUUAAAAUGGAAACAGAAAAUCUUGAAUGUGAGUCGAAGGUCAAAAGUGAGGUUGCAGUUGGAGUAAACGAGGAUAAACAAACAGAAUCAAAGGAAAAAGAAAACGAAAAGAAGCAACUUGAUUUGGAUGAUAUCGACAUGAUGGAAAUUCCAAUACAACUUGAUGACGGAAUCGACAUACUCGAAGACGUCAAAUGUGAAGAUGAAGGUGUAAUCUCUUUACCGGAAAAGGAAGUAUCGAUUGGUGAGGGUAUCAGUAUUAAUGGCGAUGGAGAACUAAUGCAGGAAACCCACACUUCUUUCUUCUCUCUUAUACGGGAUGCAUUCGUCUCGAAAGGAGAAUAUCGUAUGAGCACCAUUGAAAUGAGAGACGCAGUGAUGCAGUGGCAAGGAAAUCCAAUUUCUCCAUUGAAUGAUUGGUAUUCCUUGGCACCAUCUUGGCCAGCCCUCGUACCUCUCGCUCUCGGCUUUCUUGCAGGAGAAUUAACUUACUCGCACGAUGGGGAACAGCAAUCUGAUGGAGAGCAGGAGUUUGUACCUUAUUUGGAAAAUAAGGGCCGGGGUCUGUAUGCUUGGAUAGGCGCUGGCAGAGAUUCAGAUUCUCGUCUUGCCACACUCUGCACUCGUUUUCUCUUGCAUAGGGAUUCUCUCGGGCCUCCAUACACUUCGACUGUAAGUGCUGUCCUUCCAGUGAAGCAGCCGUUACAACAAACUUCAUCUAAUAGCAACAAUAACAACAGCACCGGUAGCGGAAGUAUCAUUGGAGGAGGCGGAAGGGUUGGAAGUCCUGUGAUUGAUUCUGUUAAUCCUGAUGCUGGGUCUGUUGGUGCUUUGGGAGAAUGGGAACCGCCCCGGCCUUUAUGUCCGACUGAAUGGAAAGUUUGUCCUUCGACGCUUGAAGAACGCGAAGAAUUUCGGAGGCAGGAACGCAUGCGUUAUGCAGCACCUCAUAAAGCAUUUACCUAUCGCAUGCAUGGCUAUGCGUCUGUUGUUGGACCCGUAAAAGGCAUUUAUCAGCACAACGUUGGUUCAGGUGUAAAUAAGCCACGAGGUCAUUCAUUGCUGGUAGCCGAGAGACCGAACUUUGUUACGAUCUUGGCGCUAGUGCGAGAUGCUACUGCUCGUCUCCCAAACGGUGAAGGGACUCGAGCUGAUAUUUGUCAGUUACUAAAAGACUCGCAAUACAUCAGAGAUCAAAGUGACAGCGAGGGUGGUCACGAUAAGGAAGGAUAUUUACAUUCAGUUGUAUCCGGUGCCUUGGAUAGAUUACAUUAUGAAGCAGAUCCAUGCGUUAGGUAUUAUCCUCGACGUAAAGAGUGGUUGUAUUUACAUCGAGCACGUUCCGAGUCAGAAUUUGAAAUGUAUCACCAGCAAUUGCAAGGGGUGGCUAAGAAUAAGAAAAGUAUCGGGGGUGCUACACGAAACAAAUCAAUUCAACCUAUUGCAAAAUCAAUCAGUGGUGGUAAAGAGCAACCUGUCAACAGUAACAAAGAGAGUACGCCGAAGAAAGAGCGAAAGCCUCCUACACAGGCUCAAACUACGAUCGUUAGAAAGGAGCAACGGAAACUUGAAGAAAAACUUAUUAUGGUUCAACCUACGACGGUGGAACAAACGUCAAUCAGUACUGGGACUACUACAACGGGAACUAACGCUGCUAUGGUUUCGCCCAUUACCUUUUCUAAUACUUCUACGCUUGAAAUAGCGCCGACGAUUUCGACUGCUAAUUCUGCUUCAAUAAUAGAACGAGAUAAUUCGAUUCCAAUAGAAACGAAGCAGCAACCGCAACAUCAACAACAACAACAACAACAACAAUUGACACCAUCACCGCUAACUAAAAAAGUGGCAACGACCAAUAUCGGUGGGAAGCCCGUUACCGUAGUGAAAACAAAUGCACCACAAAGUCUACUACAAUCCAAUCAUCAACAUUUUCCUCAUCACCAAAUUCAAGUAUCGACAUCGGCUGGGUUGCAGACAAUCAGACUUUCUGGACAUUCUGUGCUUCACUCUGCUCAAGCAGUCGCUACAACUAGUACUGCGAACGUAGCUAGCAAUACCGCAAAUGUUACCGCAAUUUUCCCUGCGUCUAAAAUUCAAACACAACAGCAACAGCAAAACGUGAUAACGAAUCAAGCUGGAAAGAGUAUUCUUCAGAAUAGUAAUGUAAAACAACAAACACAACAUGCCUUACCUGGAAAAACGUUACUUGCUUCUCAAAUAAAGCUAGUUAGUUCGGGGCAGAUAAAAUCCUUGUUGACAGGGCAUGGUCUUCAGGGACAGACUAUAUUUAUUAAGCAAUCUUCGUCGCCGUCUGCAGGCCAACAACAGCAAUUACAACAACAGCAGUUGAAGCAACAACUUCAACAGCGCGUUGUAGCUACCCAGCAACAGCAGUCUCCGAGUAUGCAAAGAAUAAUUGCGCAAAUCGGUGGAAAACCAAUUGCAGUGCAGAUACAACAAUCACCGCAACAUCAGCAGCAACAGCAGCAACAAAAGAUUCUAGCAAAAGUUUUAACCAGUGCAGCUGGUGGCCAAUUAAUAUCUGUGGAAAGCCUCUUGGCUCAAAAAGGAUUAAAACUUGCCACAGCUACGGGCCAUACAAGCCAACUGAAUAGACAAGGCAAACAAAUCAUUCAGACGCAAUAUCAAGUUGUAUCACAAGCUCAAGCUGCUCCAGGGCAGUCAAAAAUUAUUGUAAGUUCACAACAACAAUCCCAACAGCCACAACAAUCACAAACCGUAAGAAUGGUUACAGCACAACUAGCGGGCAAACCUAUAGUUUUGGCAAGCGGUAAUAAAGGAAUGGGAGUCGGUGUCGGUGUGAAUAGUACGGGUGGGGUUACGUUAGGAAAGCAGCAAUCUGGUCAACAGCAGCAAGCACAGACACAGCCAAUUAUUUUACCAAGCCAAUUACUAAACAUCAAAACUUUACAUGGCCUGAAAGUGAUUCCAACACCUGCAGGAUUGAAGACUACCGGUGCAGCGGUUUAUGCCCGCGUCAUUGCACCGACAACAAUGUCGGCACCUUCAACCCAGUCUACGGUCUCGCAGGCUCAACAACCGUUACAGACCCAAUCUCCAAGAAACAGUCCUUAUGGUACUCCCUGACAGGAAUAAUUUCAAAAUUAUUCUUUUCUUCCUUAUUUAUUCUUGAUUCACAUUAUUGGUACGUCUUCGUGGGAUGUUUUCUUUCUGUGACAUAGCACUGAAUAUACAUAUAGGAUAAUGAUUACUCUUUAUCAAAGUAAACUAUUUUCUGCUGUUUUCAUGUUGAAGAGAAAUGGAAAGAAAUAGUGGGUAUUGAGAUAUUCUGUUUAUUUUGUGCAUUCUUAAAAAAUUGAGAGUGCUUUAUUUCCUGACUGGAUUAUCUGCAAGUGACAGACAGAUAAAGCAUUAAAAUGAAAUUAACAUGCAAGUUGAGGCUGCUGCUCAGUGAAUUUUAAUAAUAAAAUUUCAAUAGUGAGAAAACUGCAAUGUUAUUCUCUACUAUUUAUUAUUACAUUAUAUGAAUACGGAAUGAGAAAAGCGGUAAUACCAUUUUGUAAAAAUAAAUACUGGGAGAAUAACGAUGUAAGAAUAUUUCUCAUUGUGACGUCAUUACGCUUACGUUUGUUGCUACGAUUCUGUUCGAAUUGAGUGAAUACACACCUUAAGGCGAGAGAACAUAUAGGUACUCAAAACAUUAAAAAAGCACUUCAAAGAAGAAAGUAUGUAAAAUUAUUAUAAAAGUUGCUAUAAGAAAGUGGCUAUGAAAACCAUCACGACCGGUGUGACAAUAUUGCUCCUAUCCGACUAUAAACUCUUAAAUCUCGAGGGAUUUAAAAUCCCAGGGUUAGAUCUCAAUUAAGUUAGGUUCAUCGAAUCUCAAUUAAUUUUUAUUUUUGUGAAUGUGUAAAAAGUGAAUAUUAGACAUUCUUUCUACGACUCCAAUACAUAAUUGCAAAAGUAUAUAAUAUGCAGCUAUAAAUUAAAUACUUGAAUUUUUUUCAAUACAUAUAAAAAGUAACUAUUGGUCGCGAGCUGAUGUGGAGAGAAGGUGAGUGUAAUGAUUGGGUACGUUCACACACCGCAUUUAAACCAAUUUAAUUACUACUGGGCUCGUAUUCUUGAGCCUGCCUUAAUCAUUCUCGUAUACGUCUUUCUACUUCAAAGUAUUGACUGGUCUCAUGUGAGAUUCACGAGAACGCUUUGAGAAUACGGACUAAAGUCCUGAUUUAUAGAGUGUCGUGAAUUAUGUACGUCUCUGCUUUAAAGAAAUGUUUAUCGUUCGUCACUUCCAUUACAUAGAAUGGUUUAAACACAGCGUGUAAGCGUAUCAAAUGGAGUUGCAGUUAUUCAUAUUUUUCAUAUUCCAAAAUAAAACUAUAUAGAAGCAAACUCGAAAUUAGAUUUAAUUAAAUCCACUUGAAAAGAGUAAUCACUUUCAAUAACCGUAGAAAAUAUAUCCAAAAAGUCUUUAAACGAA